RNAcentral lists this ribosomal RNA (445 nucleotides) under uncultured bacterium. Its description in RNAcentral is "bacterial SSU rRNA". It matches the Rfam family "Bacterial small subunit ribosomal RNA", at positions 354 to 796 of the family's 1533-position model. The record is from RNAcentral.
GUAGGGAAUAUUGGGCAAUGGAGGCAACUCUGACCCAGCCAUGCCGCGUGCAGGAUGACGGCCCUCUGGGUUGUAAACUGCUUUUAUACGGGAAGAAAAAAUACUACGUGUAGUAUACUGACGGUACCGUAAGAAUAAGGAUCGGCUAACUCCGUGCCAGCAGCCGCGGUAAUACGGAGGAUCCAAGCGUUGUCCGGAUUUAUUGGGUUUAAAGGGUGCGUAGGCGGAUAUUUAAGUCAGUGGUGAAAUCCUGCAGCUUAACUGUAGAAUUGCCAUUUAAACUGAAGAUCUUGAAUGUGUUUAAAGUAGGCGGAAUGUAUCAUGUAGCGGUGAAAUGCUUAGAUAUGAUACAGAACACCGAUAGCGAAGGCAGCUUGCUGAACCAUUAUUGACGCUGAGGCACGAAAGCGUGGGGAGCGAACAGGAUUAGAAACCCUGGUAGUCC